RNAcentral lists this ribosomal RNA (421 nucleotides) under uncultured bacterium. RNAcentral describes it as "bacterial SSU rRNA". It matches the Rfam family "Bacterial small subunit ribosomal RNA", at positions 355 to 773 of the family's 1533-position model. The record is from RNAcentral.
UAAGGAAUAUUGGACAAUGGGCGCAAGCCUGAUCCAGCCAUGCCGCGUGAAGGAUGAAGGUGCUCUGCAUUGUAAACUUCUUUUGUUUGGGAAUAAACCCCUCUACGUGUAGAGGGCUGAAUGUACCAAAAGAAUAAGGGUCGGCUAACUUCGUGCCAGCAGCCGCGGUAAUACGAAGGACCCAAGCGUUAUCCGGAUUUAUUGGGUUUAAAGGGUGCGUAGGCGGGUUAUUAAGUCAGUGGUGAAAGCCUGCAGCUUAACUGCAGAAUUGUCAUUGAUACUGAUGAUCUUGAGUAUGAUUGAGGUGGGCGGAAUGUGUCAUGUAGCGGUGAAAUGCUUAGAUAUGACACAGAACACCGAUUGCGAAGGCAGCUCACUAAGCCAUAACUGACGCUGAUGCACGAAAGCGUGGGGAGCAAAC